GGGCUCGAGCAAUCUACCCGCCUCAGCCUCCCAAGGUGCUGGGAUUAUGGAUGUGAGCCACUGCGCUCAGCCUUCACCUUUAUCGUGGCUCUUUUCCAACCGGUCGGGAUAGGGUUGCCCCUACAGCUCUCUGGAGAGAUGGGUGAGGUUUCAUUACAAGAACCUGGACCAAGAACAGCGUGGGAACCCAGAGAUGAGAACAUGGAGGCAGAGCGGUUCAAUGACUUUCCCAGAAUUCUGCAAUCAGUUAAGUAACAGAACCAGGUUCAACGCCCAGCAAGUCAGUUCUGGAGCUGCUGCUCUAUCACUGCAGACAGGAGGAUCCCCAAAGGGUGGUGCAGGUGGCAGUUGAGGGCACUGGCUCUUGACUUAGACCUGAGUUCAAACCCUGCCUAGGUUUCUUACUAGCUGUGUGGCUUCCGUCAAGUGACUGCCCUGGUCUCCUGUUUAACCCCCAUACAAAUAAACAAUGCACCUGUGAUGUCCUG
Long non-coding RNA from Cercocebus atys (sooty mangabey), 488 nucleotides. RefSeq lists it as uncharacterized. The record is from RefSeq and is a predicted model, not a curated record. NCBI's taxonomy places the organism in Eukaryota, Metazoa, Chordata, Mammalia, Primates, Cercopithecidae. The transcript is spliced from 2 exons.